UUAAUUAUUGGUUAUAUUUGAAAUGACAAGUUCACAUUGCUUCCUUCUCCAACCCACGUGUAUCACUUAGGAAAUGUCACAAAUUGUCUUGUUUUCAAUUACCCACCUCCUUAGAUGGAAAUUUGACUCUUUCACUCUUAUUCUCUCUCCUAUCUCACGCAUAUUCCUAUCUCUCUCAUCCUCUCCUUUUCAUCCCAGUUGUCUCUCUCUUCCCCGAGUUCUUGCUCCCCGCCGGCACGACCGCUGCCUCGUCGACCGGCGAUCCUUGGUGAUCUUCCUUCGCCGGUAAAGUUGGUAGGGUUGUUAUUGUUCGUUGUUGUUGAUUGCAUGCUAACUUUGUCCUUCCCCUCUCUCUCGACCUCCGCCGUUACACCACCAUCAAUGGUGGCUUUUGCAGCCGGUGAUGAUCAACCAAUCUAUUCGGUAAUUUCUUUGAUUUCUUUAUGUUACUCAAUUGAAUUAAAUUAGAAAACCCCAAAUUAAUCAAAAACCCUAACUCAUUUGAUUUCUCUCCUCUUAUCAUGGUGAUGUUGUGGGUUUUCUUCCCUCCUCCACCUUCUCUUUUCCUCUGCCGACCACGCCGGAGCCAAGGGCUACCGGAGCCGCUGUCGCAGCUGCUAUUGUGUCGCUGCCGCUGCUGCUGUUCGAGCUGUUGUUGCGGCUAUUGUUGUUUUUUGUUGUUGUUGAUUUGAUUUCCCUAUAUGCUUUAUAUUUCCCUUAAGGGUAUGAUCUCAAAAUAUUUGAUUUCAACUAUUCAAUUCUAGUUUACCCAAUUCAAUUGAAGUAGUUUGUUGAAUUAAAUUGUGCCUUGGUGUGUUAGUAGCUGACUAUGUAGGAAGUAAUCCUAAUUAUCCAGAAAUUAAUCUCAACUUUUGAAAACAAGGAAUUUGAAAGUAUUAGUUUGUUUCGAGAAAGUUUUUGAAUAGUUGUGAAAUUAAGAUUUUCAAUUUUAUAAUUUGAUUGAUUAAUAUUCAUUAAGUAUAUAAAUAUAAUUAUUGAAUUUCAUGUUUUCAAUCACGAAAUAUGAUUAGAAAAUCCAAUAUGGUUUUCUUAAAAUAAAAUAUGUGCUAUGUUGAUUCUAAAUUAAGUUCUUCGAAAAUCAAUUAGUUCUAGUUAUGUUUGAGUGAUUAGUUUAUUAACUUAAGUCGUUCUUGUUGAGGUGAAUUGGCGGAGAAUGAUGACCGAAUGAGACUUGGGAUCUAAGUGUAGUGAUGCGAGAGUUAAAAUGUUUUGCAGGGAGCAAGAGUCGGGUCUCAAUUCAGGUUCAAGGUUCAGGUUCUCGUAGAAAUCUCCAGAGGCCUUAAAUUUCCAAGAAUAUUUUGAUGGCCGUCGUUGAGGUGGAGGAGGUGUCGCCGGCGUCGGCGUUGAGGGAGAAGGCGGUGUUGAGGGUUUUAAUCAUUGAGAAGAUGAUUUGGAUUCAUGCGGGUUUAGGGUAUAUCAUCAUCUUGUAAAUCGAACAAUUCGUGCGCAUAUUGUGAAGGACUCUACUUGGAAAGAUGCGAAAACAUCGAAAGUCACUGCUCACGUCAAGUUAGAAGUAGUGGAUAAAGAUUUGUGCUUUAGGAUGCAGAAUAGUAAUUGUUGUGAUUGUAACAAUUAUUUAUUUUCUCUAUAUCUAGUGUAUGUAGAUAUAUUUUAUUAGUUUAGAUGUUGUAUGGCCGAUUCUUAAUGAUAUUGUUCUUCCCCGUCAAAAAAGAACAAAUAAAAUACGAAAAAUUUACCUACGGAGUAUUA
Spinacia oleracea (spinach) is the source of this 1734-nucleotide long non-coding RNA. RefSeq lists it as uncharacterized. NCBI's taxonomy places the organism in Eukaryota, Viridiplantae, Streptophyta, Magnoliopsida, Caryophyllales, Amaranthaceae. The record is from RefSeq and is a predicted model, not a curated record. The transcript is spliced from 4 exons.